UUCGUAGGCGGUGCGGCAAGUUGGGAGUGAAAUCUCCAGGCUUAACUUGGAGGCUGCUUCCAAAACUGCCGUGCUCGAGUGCGGGAGAGGCCAGUGGAAUUGCAGGUGUAGCGGUGAAAUGCGUAGAUAUCUGCAGGAACACCCGUGGCGAAGGCGGCUGGCUGGACCGCAACUGACGCUGGAGGAACGAAAGCUAGGGGAGCAAACAGGAUUAGAUACCCCUGGUAGUCCUAGCCCUAAACCAUCAGGACUUGGGGUGGCCCGCGUAGCGGGUCGUCCCGUAGCUAACGCGUUAAGUCCUGCGCCUGGGGAGUACGGUCGCAAGACUGAA
RNAcentral lists this ribosomal RNA (331 nucleotides) under uncultured bacterium. RNAcentral's name for it is "bacterial SSU rRNA". It matches the Rfam family "Bacterial small subunit ribosomal RNA", at positions 568 to 898 of the family's 1533-position model. The record is from RNAcentral.